RNAcentral lists this small RNA (331 nucleotides) under Arabidopsis thaliana (thale cress). RNAcentral's name for it is "ATSL130490". The record is from RNAcentral. Lineage: Eukaryota; Viridiplantae; Streptophyta; Magnoliopsida; Brassicales; Brassicaceae.
AGACCCAUUUUGUAGCACAUUUGAUUUGAGUUUAGUGGAUUCUGUUAUGUAUCCUCUUAUUAUUAUAAGGGAAGUACAAAUUGAAUUUUGUCUAAUUUGAUCUUAAUUUUUAUUUCAAAUUUGGAUUUUGUUCUUUGUUAUUCAAAAUCAUUAAGGGUAAUUUGGUCUUAACAAUCUUCUAAACUUUAUAUGAUUCGAUUAAAUCUAAACCGUUCAAUAAAAUUAAUUCCCUUCAAUCUAAACCGUUCAACAAAAAUAAAUAAAUAACAAGCAAAAAAAAUUUAAUCACAUUUUAACACAUUCUUCUUAUCACUAAAUAACAACAAAAAAA